UAUCCUCAACGACGGUGAAAUCACCGAUUGUGAUCUCGACAUCCCGAUAAAGUACCUUGUAGGCAAUUGGAUUCGCUGCUGGUUGGACUGUUAUCGCGAUUGGCAGCGUGUAUUUGCCCAUUGUGAAGUUGUCUUGUUGAAAACUUCCUGCUCACUUCUCUCAACUCCAGAUGAUAAUUCAAUCGAUGUUGCAGUGAAUCCGCGUGUCUUUCAGCGACAUCAUCAUCAUGUGGACCACAAAUCUCGCAAAUCUAAUCAACACAAACAAAACAAAACAUAAAUUUAAAACAUAAUUUCAAAUCGAAGCAAAUUGUGCGUUACCAAUGUCCGCAUUUUGUAACCAAGUCUAUAUCACGAAUGUUGCAUCUGUAACACUAGAAAACAAUAUGAAGCACUAAACACGCGAUAUUUGAACCAUGGAAAAUAUUUUGCAAGCGCAGCAAUGCGAUACACAACAAUAACCUUAAAACGGUGCGCGGAAUGAUUCAGAGGGGAUUUACUGAGUUAUAUCGCGGGAAUUAAGGCUGAGAUGGCAAAAAACCCGAUAACAGAGUGCAUUUAUAUGAAAUGCAGUAAUUAAACGUA
Dalotia coriaria is the source of this 585-nucleotide long non-coding RNA. RefSeq lists it as uncharacterized. The transcript is spliced from 2 exons. Lineage: Eukaryota; Metazoa; Arthropoda; Insecta; Coleoptera; Staphylinidae. The record is from RefSeq and is a predicted model, not a curated record.